Molecule: ribosomal RNA, 253 nt
Filed under: uncultured bacterium
Lineage: Bacteria
Description: partial 16S ribosomal RNA
Rfam family: Bacterial small subunit ribosomal RNA
Source: RNAcentral
CACGUAGGGCGCAAGCGUUGUCCGGAAUUAUUGGGCGUAAAGAGCUCGUAGGUGGUUUGUUACGUCUGCUGUGAAAUCCUAGGGCUUAACCCUGGGCUUGCAGUGGAUACGGGCAGACUAGAGGUAGGUAGGGGAGAAUGGAAUUCCUGGUGUAGCGGUGAAAUACGCAGAUAUCAGGAGGAACACCGGUGGCGAAGGCGGUUCUCUGGGCCUUACCUGACACUGAGGAGCGAAAGCGUGGGGAGCGAACAGG